RNAcentral lists this ribosomal RNA (497 nucleotides) under uncultured bacterium. RNAcentral describes it as "partial 16S ribosomal RNA". It matches the Rfam family "Bacterial small subunit ribosomal RNA", at positions 28 to 507 of the family's 1533-position model. The record is from RNAcentral.
GAUGAACGCUGGCGGCGUGCCUAAUACAUGCAAGUCGAGCGAACAGACGAGGAGCUUGCUCCUCUGACGUUAGCGGCGGACGGGUGAGUAACACGUGUAUAACCUACCUAUAAGACUGGGAUAACUUCGGGAAACCGGAGCUAAUACCGGAUAAUAUAUUGAACCGCAUGGUUCAAUAGUGAAAGACGGUUUUGCUGUCACUUAUAGAUGGAUCCGCGCCGCAUUAGCUAGUUGGUAAGGUAACGGCUUACCAAGGCGACUAUGCGUAGCCGACCUGAGAGGGGGAUCGGCGACACGGGAACGGAGACACGGUCCAGACGCCUAAGGGAGGCAGCAGUAGGGAAUCUUCGGCAAUGGGCGAAAGCCUGACGGAGCAACCCCGCGUGAGUGAUGAAGGUCUUCGGAGCGUAAAACUCUGUUAUUAGGGAAGAACAAAUGUGUAAGUAACUAUGGACGUCUUGACGGUACCUAAUCAGAAAGCCACGGCUAACUACGUG